Molecule: ribosomal RNA, 350 nt
Filed under: Pyrogaster sp. CO1062
Lineage: Eukaryota; Metazoa; Arthropoda; Insecta; Coleoptera; Lampyridae
Description: partial 12S ribosomal RNA
Source: RNAcentral
UUAAAUGGUAAAUAAUAAUAACCGGAUUAGUAGUAGUUAGAGUCUUGAAAAUUAAAAAAUUUGGCGGUAUUUUAGUCAAUUCAGAGGAACCUGUCCUAUAAUUGAUAUUCCACGAUAAGUAAAACUUAUUUUAUUAAAUUUGUAUAUCGUUGUUUAGAAUUUUUUAUAAGAAUUAAAAUUUUCGUGAAUUUUUAUAUUAACGUAUAUCAAAUCAAGGUGCAGUUUAUAAGUAAGCAGAGAUGGGUUACAUUAAAUUUAUUUUUGGAUUAUAAAUUUAAAUUUUUAUAUGAAAUUGGAUUUGAUAGUAAUAAUGAAUAUUUAUUUAUUAUGAUUUUUGCUCUAAAAUAUGU